Molecule: ribosomal RNA, 259 nt
Filed under: Clostridioides difficile
Lineage: Bacteria; Bacillati; Bacillota; Clostridia; Peptostreptococcales; Peptostreptococcaceae
Description: partial 23S ribosomal RNA
Rfam family: Bacterial large subunit ribosomal RNA
Source: RNAcentral
UACUACCGAAGCUACGGCAUCAGUAAUGAUGGGUGGGGGAGCUUCCCAUACGGGUUGAAGCAUGACCGUAAGGACAUGUGGACAGUAUGGGAGUGAGAAUGUUGGCAUGAGUAGCGAGAUGUGGGUGAGAAGCCCACAGGCCGUAAACCCAAGGUGUCCAGGGGAAGGUUCGUCCGCCCUGGGUUAGUCGGGACCUAAGCUGAGGCCGAAAGGCGUAGGUGAUGGACAACAGGUUGAUAUUCCUGUACUACCGAUAACC